This 434-nucleotide ribosomal RNA is filed under the name uncultured Lachnospiraceae bacterium. Its description in RNAcentral is "partial 16S ribosomal RNA". It matches the Rfam family "Bacterial small subunit ribosomal RNA", at positions 341 to 792 of the family's 1533-position model. Lineage: Bacteria; Bacillati; Bacillota; Clostridia; Lachnospirales; Lachnospiraceae. The record is from RNAcentral.
ACGGAAGGCAGCAGUGGGGAAUAUUGCACAAUGGGCGAAAGCCUGAUGCAGCGACGCCGCGUGAGUGAAGAAGUAUCUCGGUAUGUAAAGCUCUAUCAGCAGGGAAGAAAAUGACGGUACCUGACUAAGAAGCCCCGGCUAACUACGUGCCAGCAGCCGCAGUAAUACGUAGGGGGCAAGCGUUAUCCGGAUUUACUGGGUGUAAAGGGAGCGUAGACGGUUUGGCAAGUCUGAAGUGAAAUGCGGGGGCUCAACUCCUGAACUGCUUUGGAAACUGUCGAACUAGAGUGCAGGAGAGGUAAGUGGAAUUCCUAGUGUAGCGGUGAAAUGCGUAGAUAUUAGGAGGAACACCAGUGGCGAAGGCGGCUUACUGGACUGUAACUGACGUUGAGGCUCGAAAGCGUGGGGAGCAAACAGGAUUAGAUACCCUGGUA